This 199-nucleotide long non-coding RNA is filed under the name Elaeis guineensis (African oil palm). Its description in RNAcentral is "long non-coding RNA (EGUI_LNC058342)". The record is from RNAcentral. Lineage: Eukaryota; Viridiplantae; Streptophyta; Magnoliopsida; Arecales; Arecaceae.
GUUGGAAUACAUGGAGUCAAUUUCUGACUUCAUUACUUUCAUCCAUUUCUCGGAGUCAACAUCUAACAUCACCUCAUUAUAGAUCUUGGAAUCAUUCCUAAUGUCCCUAUCUCCCAUAAGGAACACUUCUUCGAGAUUCUCUAUAAGAAUACCUAACUACCUUUCAAGAGAACGGGAGACCCUAUUUGAUCUACGAGAC